This 459-nucleotide ribosomal RNA is filed under the name uncultured bacterium. RNAcentral's name for it is "partial 16S ribosomal RNA". It matches the Rfam family "Bacterial small subunit ribosomal RNA", at positions 338 to 795 of the family's 1533-position model. The record is from RNAcentral.
CCUACGGGUGGCAGCAGUGAGGAAUAUUGGUCAAUGGCCUGACGGCUGAACCAGCCAAGCCGCGUGAGGGAGGACUGCGCAGAGCGUCGCAAACCUCUUUUGCCGGGGGACAAAAGGCCGGACUCGUCCGGUCCUGAGGGUACCCGGAGAAAAAGCAUCGGCUAACUCCGUUCCAGCCGCCGCGGUAAUCCGGGGGAGGCGAGCGUUAUCCGGAUUCAUUGGGUUUAAAGGGUGCGCAGGCGGGCCUUUAAGCCGGCGGUGAAAUCGCGGGGCUCAACCCCGCCGAGCCGUCGGAACUGGGGGCCUUGAGUGGGGCGGAGGCAUGCGGAAUGCGCGGUGUAGCGGUGAAAUGCAUAGAUAUCGCGCAGAACCCCGAUUGCGAAGGUAGCGUGCCGUGCCGCCACUGACGCUGAGGCACGAAAGCGCGGGGAUCGAACAGGAUUAGAUACCCUUGUAGUC